GUUUCUGUAGUUGAGAACAACAGUGGUUUUUCAGACCAUAGGCCUUGGUGUAAGACCAAGCAGAAAUU
RNAcentral lists this transfer RNA (68 nucleotides) under Nothocercus julius. RNAcentral's name for it is "tRNA-Glu". It matches the Rfam family "tRNA". Rfam says of the family: Transfer RNA (tRNA) molecules are approximately 80 nucleotides in length. Lineage: Eukaryota; Metazoa; Chordata; Aves; Tinamiformes; Tinamidae. The record is from RNAcentral.